CUGCAACCAUGGAUAAAAUCCAUCUGCAAUCACUUGUGGUACGCCUGUUCCACUUGUGGAGGUGACCCUGAUGGAAGCUUGAAGUAUUCCAUGCAUCUAUGCUGAAAUACACAGAGAAGAGACUGCACUUCCACUACUCAACAAUGAAAGCUCGCACCCAGCUUGCCGUUAUGGACCACAAUGAAAAUGUUCAGCGUGAACAGGCCUACACCAACACAGGACAAGCACGGUUCAAUGUGGUUUACCCAAGACAAACAAAAGAAUGGGUUGCCAAAAAGAU
Molecule: long non-coding RNA, 280 nt
Organism: Cyprinodon tularosa
Lineage: Eukaryota; Metazoa; Chordata; Actinopteri; Cyprinodontiformes; Cyprinodontidae
Exons: 3
Source: RefSeq, a predicted model, not a curated record